This 22-nucleotide microRNA is filed under the name Caenorhabditis briggsae. RNAcentral describes it as "cbr-miR-81". Its record names the gene cbr-miR-81. The record is from miRBase by way of RNAcentral. Lineage: Eukaryota; Metazoa; Nematoda; Chromadorea; Rhabditida; Rhabditidae. RNAcentral also lists the same sequence under 3 other names.
UGAGAUCAUCGUGAAAGCUAGU